AUUGAACGCUGGCGGCAGGCUUAACACAUGCAAGUCGAGCGGGGUGAUGGUGCUUGCACUAUCACUUAGCGGCGGACGGGUGAGUAAUGCUUAGGAAUCUGCCUAUUAGUGGGGGACAAUAUCUCGAAAGGGAUGCUAAUACCGCAUACGUCCUACGGGAGAAAGCAGGGGAUCACUUGUGACCUUGCGCUAAUAGAUGAGCCUAAGUCGGAUUAGCUAGUUGGUGGGGUAAAGGCCUACCAAGGCGACGAUCUGUAGCGGGUCUGAGAGGAUGAUCCGCCAAACUGGGACUGGAACACGGCCCAGACUCCUACGGGAGGCAGCAGUGGGGAAUAUUGGACAAUGGGGGGAACCCUGAUCCAGCCAUGCCGCGUGUGUGAAGAAGGCCUUAUGGUUGUAAAGCACUUUAAGCGAGGAGGAGGCUCUUUUGGUUAAUACCCAAGAUGAGUGGACGUUACUCGCAGAAUAAGCACCGGCUAACUCUGUGCCAGCCGCCGCAGUAA
RNAcentral lists this ribosomal RNA (503 nucleotides) under uncultured bacterium. RNAcentral describes it as "partial 16S ribosomal RNA". It matches the Rfam family "Bacterial small subunit ribosomal RNA", at positions 30 to 523 of the family's 1533-position model. The record is from RNAcentral.